GUGCUUGCUUCAGCAGUACAUUUACUAAAACUGGAACCAUACAGAGAAGAUUAGCAUGGCCCCUGUGCAAGGAUGACAUGCAAAUUCGUGAAGCGCUCCAUAUUAAA
Molecule: small nuclear RNA, 107 nt
Organism: Marmota marmota marmota (Alpine marmot)
Lineage: Eukaryota; Metazoa; Chordata; Mammalia; Rodentia; Sciuridae
Source: Ensembl